Molecule: long non-coding RNA, 2403 nt
Organism: Mesocricetus auratus (golden hamster)
Lineage: Eukaryota; Metazoa; Chordata; Mammalia; Rodentia; Cricetidae
Exons: 4
Source: RefSeq, a predicted model, not a curated record
ACGGAGCUUGCCCUGGUGUUCUGGAGUGACCCCACAGGGCUGACUGAGCUCAUUAUACAAAGCUGUAUGCUGGGUCCUGUCCAGCUCCAUCCAGCCCCACCCCCUUGCCUGCUGAGCCCGUGUGCCUACGAUCCGCAGGACUGUCACUAGCUAGCGAUGUUUUCACUCUUAUUCUGAACCCUCUCCAAAUCGCCUCCCUGAGACACCUUUUCUCUCUCUUCUGAAGAGGCGAGGGGACUCCAGGGCCUCUGAGGUUGGAGGUGUCCUCCACCCCUUUAUUGAGGGGCAAAGCAUGGAUCCAGAUGGCUCAAGAAAAACCUGCAAUAAAACACGACUUCCUCUGGCUGAAGAACAAAGCUGCAGGCUCUCGAGUUCCUCAGCCCCAAGCACAGGACCACACAGGGGUCUCUAUAGCCUGAGGAAUCCACUGAGAACUGGAUAUCUGAGACUUAGCUUGUGGUGAGCAGUUACCGUCUAGAGAAGAACUCCUUCAGUGUUGUCGUCUUACAGACCUGUAGGGGCCCAUUCCUUCUGGCACUUUUGGAGCCGAUGCAACCAAGAAAUCAAUAUCGCCGUUAGACUCGUCCAUGGCAACCGUGAUGCUGCCGCAUCUCCUGCCCUGUAAUGGUGACAGAAACGGCAGAGCCAGGAGUGAGUGAGAUACUCAGAAGAGGGGAUGGGGACAUCAGGAGGGAGGGGGGACAUUAAAUCCCCAUGGAGCCUCACUCAGCAAAUGAAAAAGUGUCAGCUGUGCCCUGUGGCAUAAUCAGGUCUCCUUUCAGAGAGUGUAAUGGCUUGAUGUCAGGCAUGGCAGGGGCAUUUGCAACACGCAGGUAGCACGAGGCCCUUAAGGAAGAUUAAAUUGGCAGCCACAGGAACCGCAGCCCUGCUCUAUAGUCUUACUUUACAUACCAGGAGCUCUGGGGAGGGGAGGGGAGCAACUCCCUGCCUUCAGUGCGUCUGGACUUCUGUUGCCAUUGCCGCCACUAUUAUUGGUCUUAUUAUUAUAUCCUGCCACAAGGAAAGAAGGCGUCAUCUCUCAGGCCAGUGCCGGGUGCAUGGAAAGCCCUGCAGGGGUAGCUGAAUGCUGUUAGCCUUGUCUACGGAGCAGACUCAGCCAGCCAGCAGUGAUUUAUGUUGUCAGUACUUUCUGUACGUUAGGAGCUGCUCGAGGUGAAAUGCUAGGCGCUCUGCAGAAAACAGAAUGUAUCAAAGUUCAGGUGGCUCAUGUCGUGCAGGGACCAAGUAUAGAACGGAGCUCUUGGCUUGGAUUUCACCUCACCCUGGAGGCUAAGCCGCCUCCUGGAAUUUCUCCUCCCUUUCCUUGGUGUGUAGCGUUUGAUCUGUUCUUACUCAGGGAAGAUUUAGCUCCUUUAAAAGACUGGUCUGGAGACUUUUUCUUUUUGGUCACAACUUAGUAGUGUGUGUGUGUGUGUGUGUGUGUGUGUAAGUUACCACAGAUAUUAUGGGUUAGGGAUCCCCAAUCUCUUUAGAACGUGAAACCCUAACUGCUCUAAAAUUGGUAACUUUUUGUAUGCUGACAUGAUCUCAUGAGUGGAAGAUUCCUUGCCAUGAAACACUGAACAACUAUUAAGAUGUUACAUAAGGUUAUCUUCAGGCCAUGAAUACAAGGCACCUAUGAUUUAUAUAUGUGUAUAUAUGCACAUAUAUGCAUGUAUACACACACUAUAUAUAUGUAUAUAUUUGCUGCUCACACUUUCAUCCUCUCUCUUGAACUAUUUCAUUGGAUGAAAACACUCCUAAAUCUAAAACCAGUCUGAGAUCUGAGACACUUACAUUCCCAAAUAGCUUAGGUAAGGGACACUCGGCCUGGAGUAAGCAGAAGUUGAAGGGCCACCAAACAUCUUGCCAAGUACACAAAGCAGCCAGACAAGAAAUGACCUGUCCUGCAGUACCAAUAAUGCAGGCAUUGAGAAGCCCUGGUAGCAAGAGAUGUCUUCCAGAAUCCUUUGUGGCUAGGUGUGGUUCCCACCAUUAGAAUGCAAACAGGAGCCCUGUGGUAACAUCCUACAGGAGGCAGGAUAAAGAGCAAACGAAGCCCCAGGUUAGUGUGGGUCUGGCUGAAGCCGUAAGUCCCCAUGUGAAAGAGGACUGUCUCCCGGCAAAGGCGCAUAGCUUGGACUGUUAUGUGAAUAAAAAAUAAAACACUGUUAUAUUUUAUACAUGAAGGAUCCCUCAACUAUCACAGCUUAAUGAAUCUCAACUUCUGUCAUUACUACGUCUUGCCAGUAGUUCUUCAAUGCUAGCGUUUGCUGAGCACACACCAUGGGUCAGACAUUAGCUCUUUAAGGAGAGUGUGUUCGAUAGUUUUGUGUCAACUUUAUAUAAGCUAGAGUUACUGGGAAUCACAAUUAAGAAAAUGCAUCCAUAGAUCAGGUUGUA